AGGGGCAGCGGGAAGUCAGCUUGCUGACUUUGCCGGCGACCGGCGCACGGGUGAGUAACACGUAUCCAACCUGCCUCAUACUCGGGGAUAGCCUUGCGAAAGAAAGAUUAAUACCGGAUAGUAUCGAGAGAUUGCAUGAUUACCCGAUUAAAGAUUCAUCGGUAACGGAUGGGGAUGCGUUCCAUUAGGCAGUUGGCGGGGUAACGGCCCACCAAGCCUUCGAUGGAUAGGGGUUCUGAGAGGAAGGUCCCCACAUUGGAACUGAGACACGGUCCAAACUCC
This 282-nucleotide ribosomal RNA is filed under the name uncultured Bacteroidales bacterium. Its description in RNAcentral is "partial 16S ribosomal RNA". It matches the Rfam family "Bacterial small subunit ribosomal RNA", at positions 65 to 339 of the family's 1533-position model. Lineage: Bacteria; Pseudomonadati; Bacteroidota; Bacteroidia; Bacteroidales. The record is from RNAcentral.